RNAcentral lists this long non-coding RNA (269 nucleotides) under Gossypium raimondii (Peruvian cotton). RNAcentral describes it as "long non-coding RNA (GRAI_LNC002742)". The record is from RNAcentral. Lineage: Eukaryota; Viridiplantae; Streptophyta; Magnoliopsida; Malvales; Malvaceae.
GUAUACCUUGAUCAUUUGGUAUGUUUAGCUCAUUUUUCCUAUUCACAGUUUAACAAAUUGAACUAACUAGUCUAAAUGCAAAUAACCUAAAAUUGUUUAUUCUCAGGUUAGAUUUACAAUUUAAAGAAAUAACCUUUUUGCAUGCUUCUAACCAAUAACUUAUAUUUCUACAAGCUCGAGCUCCAACAAGCACACAAGAAAAAAAAUGAAGUAAAAAUUACUAAAAAUAAAACAAAAAUAGUAGCAAAAAUGUAAAAAUUUUAUGUCAC